GACGAACGCUGGCGGCGUGCUUAACACAUGCAAGUCGAACGGAAAGGCCCUGCUUUUGUGGGGUGCUCGAGUGGCGAACGGGUGAGUAACACGUGAGUAACCUGCCCUUGACUUUGGGAUAACUUCAGGAAACUGGGGCUAAUACCGGAUAGGAGCUCCUGCUGCAUGGUGGGGGGUGGAAAGUUUCGGCGGUUGGGGAUGGACUCGCGGCUUAUCAGCUUGUUGGUGGGGUAGUGGCUUACCAAGGCUUUGACGGGUAGCCGGCCUGAGAGGGUGACCGGCCACAUUGGGACUGAGAUACGGCCCAGACUCAUACGGGAGGCAGCAGUGGGGAAUAGUGCAAAAUGGGCGGAAGCCUGAUGCAGCAACGCCGCGUGCGGGAUGACGGCCUUCGGGUUGUAAACCGCUUUCGCCUGUGACGAAGCGUGAGUGACGGUAAUGGGUAAAGAAGCACCGGCUAACUACGUG
RNAcentral lists this ribosomal RNA (468 nucleotides) under uncultured bacterium. RNAcentral describes it as "partial 16S ribosomal RNA". It matches the Rfam family "Bacterial small subunit ribosomal RNA", at positions 28 to 507 of the family's 1533-position model. The record is from RNAcentral.